This 301-nucleotide ribosomal RNA is filed under the name uncultured bacterium. RNAcentral describes it as "partial 16S ribosomal RNA". It matches the Rfam family "Bacterial small subunit ribosomal RNA", at positions 509 to 809 of the family's 1533-position model. The record is from RNAcentral.
CAGUAGCCACGGGAAUACGUAGGGUCCGAGCGUUGUCCGGAAUUAUUGGGCGUAAAGGGCUCGUAGGCGGUUUGUUGCGUCGGGAGUGAAAACCCAGGGCUUAACUUUGGGCUUGCUUUCGAUACGGGCAGACUUGAGGCAUUGAGGGGAGAACGGAAUUCCUGGUGUAGCGGUGAAAUGCGCAGAUAUCAGGAGGAACACCGGUGGCGAAGGCGGUUCUCUGGCAAUGUUCUGACGCUGAGGAGCGAAAGUGUGGGGAGCGAACAGGAUUAGAGACCCCCGUAGUCCCUGUCUCUUAUAU